UACGUAGGGCGCAAGCGUUGUCCGGAAUUAUUGGGCGUAAAGAGCUCGUAGGUGGUUUGUUACGUCUGCUGUGAAAACCUAGGGCUUAACCCUGGGCCUGCAGUGGAUACGGGCAGACUAGAGGUAGGUAGGGGAGAAUGGAAUUCCCGGUGUAGCGGUGAAAUGCGCAGAUAUCAGGAGGAACACCGGUGGCGAAGGCGGUGAUCUGGGCCGACACUGACGCUGUAGAGCGAAAGCGUGGGGAGCAAACAGG
RNAcentral lists this ribosomal RNA (253 nucleotides) under uncultured bacterium. RNAcentral's name for it is "partial 16S ribosomal RNA". It matches the Rfam family "Bacterial small subunit ribosomal RNA", at positions 524 to 776 of the family's 1533-position model. The record is from RNAcentral.